Molecule: ribosomal RNA, 496 nt
Filed under: uncultured bacterium
Lineage: Bacteria
Description: partial 16S ribosomal RNA
Rfam family: Bacterial small subunit ribosomal RNA
Source: RNAcentral
GAUGAACGCUGGCGGCGUGCCUAAUACAUGCAAGUCGAGCGAACGGACGAGAAGCUUGCUUCUCUGAUGUUAGCGGCGGACGGGUGAGUAACACGUGGAUAACCUACCUAUAAGACUGGGAUAACUUCGGGAAACCGUAGCUAAUACCGGAUAAUAUUUUGAACCGCAUGGUUCAAAAGUGAAAGACGGUCUUGCUGUCACUUAUAGAUGGAUCCGCGCUGCAUUAGCUAGUUGGUAAGGUAACGGCUUACCAAGGCAACGAUGCAUAGCCGACCUGAGAGGGUGAUCGGCCACACUGGAACUGAGACACGGUCCAGACUCCUACGGGAGGCAGCAGUAGGGAAUCUUCCGCAAUGGGCGAAAGCCUGACGGAGCAACGCCGCGUGAGUGAUGAAGGUCUUCGGAUCGUAAAACUCUGUUAUUAGGGAAGAACAUAUGUGUAAGUAACUGUGCACAUCUUGACGGGACCUAAUCAGAAAGCCACGGCGAACUACGU